Molecule: non-coding RNA, 45 nt
Filed under: Schistosoma mansoni
Lineage: Eukaryota; Metazoa; Platyhelminthes; Trematoda; Strigeidida; Schistosomatidae
Source: RNAcentral
AUCCAAUUGACGAGUCCCAAAUAGGACGAAACGCGCGUCCUCGAU